Molecule: ribosomal RNA, 329 nt
Filed under: uncultured soil bacterium
Lineage: Bacteria
Description: partial 16S ribosomal RNA
Rfam family: Bacterial small subunit ribosomal RNA
Source: RNAcentral
AGGAUAAACGCUGGCGGCGUGCCUUACGCAUGCAAGUCGAGCGGGGGAGUCACCUUCGGGGGGCUUCCAGCGGCGGACGGGUGAGGAACACGUAAGUGAUCUAGCCGGUUGUGGGGGAUAAUUGCCCGAAAGGGGGAGCUAAUACCGCGUGAGCUGGUGGGGGUGAGGCCUCAUCAGGAAAGGCCCCGCGAGGGGUCGCGACCGGGGGAGCUUGCGGCCGAUUAGCUAGUUGGGCGGGGUAAAGGCCCACCAAGGCGACGAUCGGUAGCUGGCCUGAGAGGGUGGUCAGCCACACUGGGGACUGAGACACGGCCCAGACUCCUACGGGA